This 72-nucleotide transfer RNA is filed under the name Ictidomys tridecemlineatus (thirteen-lined ground squirrel). Its description in RNAcentral is "Spermophilus tridecemlineatus (thirteen-lined ground squirrel) tRNA". It matches the Rfam family "tRNA". From Rfam's summary of the family: Transfer RNA (tRNA) molecules are approximately 80 nucleotides in length. Lineage: Eukaryota; Metazoa; Chordata; Mammalia; Rodentia; Sciuridae. The record is from Rfam by way of RNAcentral.
UGAGCUGUAGCUCAGCGGUAGAGCACUUGCCUACCAUAUAUGAGGCCCUGGGUUCGAUCCUCAGCACCACAU